AUGGCUAUAUCACAUUGAAACACUGGUUCUCAUGUGAACACCAAAGUUAAGCAAUGUAGAGCCUGGUCUAAUCUAAUGGGUGACUGCUUGGGAAUACCAGGUGCUGUCAG
Acanthosepion pharaonis is the source of this 110-nucleotide non-coding RNA. Lineage: Eukaryota; Metazoa; Mollusca; Cephalopoda; Sepiida; Sepiidae. The record is from the annotation of a GenBank genome assembly.